This 253-nucleotide ribosomal RNA is filed under the name uncultured bacterium. Its description in RNAcentral is "partial 16S ribosomal RNA". It matches the Rfam family "Bacterial small subunit ribosomal RNA", at positions 524 to 776 of the family's 1533-position model. The record is from RNAcentral.
UACGUAGGGGGCAAGCGUUGUCCGGAUUUAUUGGGCGUAAAGAGCGUGUAGGCGGUUUGGUAGGUCCGUUGUGAAAACUCGAGGCUCAACCUCGAGACGCCGAUGGAAACCAUUAGACUAGAGUCCGGAAGAGGAGAGUGGAAUUCCUGGUGUAGCGGUGAAAUGCGCAGAUAUCAGGAAGAACACCCGUGGCUAAGGCGGCUCUCUAGUACGGUACUGACGCUGAGACGCGAAAGCGUGGGGAGCGAACAGG